This 65-nucleotide transfer RNA is filed under the name Cryptocephalus ramburii. Its description in RNAcentral is "tRNA-Ile". Lineage: Eukaryota; Metazoa; Arthropoda; Insecta; Coleoptera; Chrysomelidae. The record is from RNAcentral.
UACGGAAUGCCUGAUUAAAGGAUAAUUUUGAUAGAAUUAAUUAAGUGUUCUCAACACUUCCGUAA